GCCCCGGCCUCCUCCUGGCGCUCGGGCUGCUGGUGCUGCUGCUGUCGCUCAUCAGCCUGCUGCUGCUCGGCCACCUGCUCUUCUUCCACCUCUACCUGAUGGCCAAAAAGCUGAGCACGUUUGAUUACAUGACACAGGGCCGCCAUCAGCAGAACUUGAAACACCAGACAGGGAAGAGGAAUGUGAGUUUACAAAUAGAAGACCUUUCACAGCCUCUGGACAGCCCCCGGGGAGCCUCCGUGCAGGGGUGAGUUGCCAUUUCUCUACAGCUGUUUUGUGCAUCUGAAGUAGCUAUAUUCUCCUCAACUGCCUUGCUUUAAAAAAUCGUUCUUUUCACAGAAUAUCCUCCAUA
This 352-nucleotide long non-coding RNA is filed under the name Moschus moschiferus (Siberian musk deer). RNAcentral's name for it is "lncRNA (ENSMMSG00000017756.1)". Lineage: Eukaryota; Metazoa; Chordata; Mammalia; Artiodactyla; Moschidae. The record is from RNAcentral.